This 215-nucleotide long non-coding RNA is filed under the name Lathyrus oleraceus (garden pea). RNAcentral describes it as "Pisum sativum (pea) long non-coding RNA (PSAT_LNC029757)". The record is from RNAcentral. Lineage: Eukaryota; Viridiplantae; Streptophyta; Magnoliopsida; Fabales; Fabaceae.
UUAGUUGUCAGUCAAACUCGGCAAGACAUCGCAUCUUAUGCCUACGUAUCUCAUCUGAACAUGAGAAUCAGAUUUGUCGUAGUUCGGCUAACUAGGGGUUUGUUUUGGUUUUUUAGGUGAACGACGUUACUACGCAAUCUACCGGAUGCUCGACCUUUGGAGACUUACUCACCUGUAGUAGAAGGAGUUAACGUGUUCUUAGGGGAAGAAAAAUC